AGAGUUUGAUCCUGGCUCAGCGCGAACGCUGGCGGCAUGGUUAAAACAUGCAAGUCGAACGCGAAAGGGGGCAACCCCAAGUAGAGUGGCGGAAGGGCGAGUAAUGCAUUCCUAACGUGCCCCAAGGUCAGGGAUAGCUCACCGAAAGGUGUGGUAAUACCUGAUAACCCGUCGGAGCCGCAUGGCUCUGCCGGCAAAGGCUUGCUGCCUUGGGAGCGGGGAAUGUCCUAUCAGCUAGUUGGUGAGGUAAUGGCUCACCAAGGCUAAGACGGGUAGCCGGUGUGAGAGCACGGCCGGCCGCAUCGGGACUGAGACACUGCCCGGACUCCUACGGGGGGCUGCAGUAACGAAUAUUCCACAAUGGGCGCAAGCCUGAUGGAGCAAUGCCGCGUGCAGGAUGAAGCCCCUCGGGGUGUAAACUGCUGUCAGGGUUUAAGAAAUCAAUGACUAGACCCAAAGGAAGAGGCGGCUAACUCUGUGCCAGCAGCCGCGGUAAUACAGAGGCCUCGAGCGUUGCGCGGAAUCACUGGGCUUAAAGGGUGCGUAGGCGGAUGUGCAAGUGCCUUGUGAAAUCCCAGAGCUCAACUCUGGAACUGCUUGGUAGACUGCAUGUCUUGAGGUCGGUAGGGGUCGCUGGAACAGUUGGUGGAGCGGUGAAAUGCGUAGAUAUCAACUGGAACGCCAAAGGUGAAGACAAGCGACUGGGCCGAUUCUGACGCUGAGGCACGAAAGCGUGGGGAGCAAACGGGAUUAGAUACCCCGGUAGUCCACGCCCUAAACGAUGCACACUAGAUCGUGGAGGCUCUGACGCCCUCAUGGUCGAAGCAAAAGUAUUUAGUGUGCCGCCUGGGGAGUACGGUCGCAAGAUUAAAACUCAAAGAAAUUGACGGGGGCUCACACAAGCGGUGGAGCAUGUGGCUUAAUUCGAAGCAACGCGAAGAACCUUAUCCAAGGCUUGACAUGCACGGAUUAGUUGGAUGAAAGUUCAAUGACACUCGCAAGAGUGGAACGUGCACAGGUGCUGCAUGGCUGUCGUCAGCUCGUGCUGUGAAGUGUCGCGUUAAGUCGCUUAACGAGCGAAACCCCUAUCAUUAGUUGCUACCAGGUAAUGCUGAGGACUCUAAUGAGACUGCCGGUGUCAAACCGGAGGAAGGUGGGGAUGACGUCAAGUCCUCAUGGCCUUUAUGCCUUGGGCUGCACACGUGCUACAAUGCGGCCGACAAUGCGAAGCAAGACCGUAAGGUGGAGCAAAUCGCAAAAAAGGUCGCCCAGUUCAGAUUGAGGUCUGCAACCCGACCUCAUGAAGUUGGAAUCGCUAGUAAUCGGGGAUCAGCUACGCCCCGGUGAAUAUGUUCCUGAGCCUUGUACACACCGCCCGUCAAGUCAUGGGAGCCGGGAGCGCCCGAAGUCGCCCUAUCUCAGGGGUGCCAAGGGCAAGCUCGGUGACUGGGACUAAGUCGUAACAAGGUA
RNAcentral lists this ribosomal RNA (1470 nucleotides) under uncultured bacterium. Its description in RNAcentral is "16S ribosomal RNA". It matches the Rfam family "Bacterial small subunit ribosomal RNA". The record is from RNAcentral.